Molecule: long non-coding RNA, 2435 nt
Organism: Diabrotica virgifera virgifera (western corn rootworm)
Lineage: Eukaryota; Metazoa; Arthropoda; Insecta; Coleoptera; Chrysomelidae
Exons: 2
Source: RefSeq, a predicted model, not a curated record
UUUACCUUGAGUUUAUCUCGUACUUUUACCUAGAUGAGUUUAUCUCUUAUCUAUAUCUUGAUUGAAUGCAUAUCUUAUCUUUAUCUUGAUUAUUAUAAAGUCCUAAGAAUCUGUCCUUCUCUGUGCUUGUCGUGAGUAAAGAAUUGGACCACGUCAAUAGUACAGUUUAGGUAUUACACUUAGGAUUUUUAUUACCUUUUACCUUUUGUGCAUACCCUCUACCACGAGUAGAUGCGGGCUUGCCAGUAUCUUUACCUUUUAGCAUACCCUAUACUAUGCGUAUAGUGCGCUUGCUAGUAUCUUUACCUAGAUUGUGUCUUCCUAUCGCUACGAAAGCAAGUAGACGUUAUGAAUUAUCUUUUACCUUGAGUUUUAGAUGUUGAUAUCCGGAACCAUAUCAUAUAUGUUUAGGUUUGUAGUAAUGUAGUUUUAACUGGUCCUAAUGAAUUAGUCCCUCAUUGAAUUCUGGGGUGAUUAAUAGAAUUUGUUCGCUCUAGUGUCAAUGUUGGGUAAAGUUAAUAGGAUGCGUUUAGGUUAAUUGUUGUUUAUGGUUCUUAGUUAUAUUGUGUUAAGGGUUGUUAAUACACACCUGUAAUUUAGUUUUAAUCAUGGGUUUACUAACACUUGAGAAUGUAGAUAGUAAGUAGUGUUAAGAGUUAACUUACUCUAUAAGGUUGUAUAAUUAUAUUUAGAAUGUUAGUGAUUAACGCGUAAUUAUUUGUUUUUCUCUAUCUUUGGUUUUACUAAAUUAAAGUAAAUUAUCUUGUUGAAUAACUUAUGUCAGUCAGUUACGUAUGUCGGUUAGUUACACAUCCCUUCUAUGUUCUAUACUUUCUGCAAGUACCAUUAAAGAUAUCUCGCGUGGCCUCUAUACUGUCUGUAUGACUUCGUCCUGAUUUUUGUUCUGUCUCCUCAGCAAAUAGUAUGGCUGUUGAGCCUACCAAAAUUAUGGUUUUAUACCACAACGUUUCUCCUUUACCGUGUCCAUCCUCAGGUUCGCCUAGCGUCAGUUAGUUUUGGAAAAUAAAAAAAAAGGAAACUUGUAGAGUUUUCCUUUUUUUUGCUGGAGAAGAGGGAGAAUGUAGCGAUCACGCUACUAAUUAAAUUACUUUAAUUAAAAUUGGAUUAAAAUAUACCCCUCUACAAAAUCCUUGGGUGACGCCCGCGAAGAUCCCACAACGAUUUUUCGGUGCACAGGCGCGCCAAUAGAAAGAAAAUCGAUGAUUGUCGAUUUCUAGUUUAGUUGGUCACGAACUCACAAAGAGGCAACACAUCGUCAUUACUUAGGUGACGGAGUUUGGGCAAAAUUGGGAAAAUAUAUAACUAAAAGACCUCGAACAUCAGCCAAUAACCCAUACUAAUAAUAAUCAAGCAGUAGUUAUAUCUGGAGACUUAUUUACAAGAAAGGAAAAAGGUUAUAAUACCGCCGAUGUGUUGCUUUGCUCAAAUUCCGUCCCGUAGCUACUUGUCACAUAGACACUUAGCCUAGUCAAUUUAUAUAGAUUGUAUCAUCAUUUAAUGUGCCAUCAUAUAAAUAUGUGCCAGUUACUGUAAGCAGCUAGGGCAUGGGUUACCCCUAGAGUUACUUUUGAUUGGAUUGGAUAGUACCUAUUUCACAACAUCCAGGAUUGGAUUUAUCACCACAGCAGCCCACUAGUUUUUGCCGUGCCAAGAGGAAAUUCAUUCCUAUCUGGACCUUUUUAAAUAGGACUUGUGGUUAAGAUAAGUUGUUUAAUCUUAUUAUUUACAUAUUUUGGGUACUCUAUAGUUGCUUGCACUGUAAACUUCUUGUAUGCAUACAAUUGAGGUAAACUAGGUACAUAUUUCUUGAUAGAUAGGGUUUUAGGUCGUUGGUUUUUUUUUGAUUUAAUAUAAGUAGUAGUUUCCAAUAAAUAAAAUUAGGUCUUGUUCAAUAAUCAUUAUAAAUAAUAAUUGUAGCUUAAAAAUUUGAUAGGGAAGGGGUCGUUAAAGGUUUGUCGCGGAUUUCAAAUAGGGAAUAUGUCUUGUAGGUUUUUACAUUGUAUAUAAAGAGUAACUGACCAACUCAUUUAUACAACUCAUUUAUAUCACUCAUUUAUAUAACUCAUUUAUAUAACUCAUUAUAUAUUUAUUUAUUAGUGUUUUUGCUAGGUGAGAUCUUUAUUAUUUUUGGUAACCGUAGCGUUCUUGUUGUGGAUCUCACUCUAGCGUAGUUCAAUUUAGGAAAUAAUUACUAACUUUUUAGUUGUAAGGACUUAGUGCUAUUCUGACGGACUUUUGCUUUGGAUUUUGAUUUUAAUACCUUUGCUUGGCCAGUGAUAGUGGAUAAUUGCUUGUUAAGUGGCCUUUGCGGUCCUAUUUGAUCUUUUCCCCAUCCACUAUCACUGUUAUUACGUUGCGUUAUAUGUAAAGUGUUAACAUUUAAUAUUUAUUAUUAAUAUAUUUGUAUGUAUUAA